Long non-coding RNA from Oncorhynchus tshawytscha (Chinook salmon), 399 nucleotides. NCBI's taxonomy places the organism in Eukaryota, Metazoa, Chordata, Actinopteri, Salmoniformes, Salmonidae. The record is from Ensembl.
UGUCUAUUGCAUGUUUGAGCUUUUGCUGAUCGCUUUGGAGGGGUGCAUCACUUGAGUGGGUUGAGUCACUGACGUGAUCUUCCUGUCCGGGUCGGAGCCCCACGCCCCCCGGGUUUGUGCCAUUGGGGAGAUCUUCGUGGGCUAUACUCAGCCUUGUCUCAGGAUGGACCUGAGCCCUAGGAACAUGCCUCAGGCCUACCUGGCCUGAUGACUCCUUGCUGUCCCCAGUCCACCUGGCCGCACUGCUGCUCCAGUUUAAACUGUUCUGCCUGCGGCUAUGGAACCCUGACCUGUCCACCGGACCUGCUACCUGUCCCAGACCUGCUGUUUUCAACUCUCUAGAGACAGCAGGAGCGGUAGAGAUACUCUGAAUGGUCGGCUAUGAAAAGACAACUCACA